GUAGGUGGCAAGCGUUGUCCGGAAUUAUUGGGCGUAAAGCGCGCGCAGGCGGGUCCUUUAAGUCUGAUGUGAAAGCCCACGGGCUCAACCGUGGAGGGUCAUUGGAAACUGGGGGACUUGAGUACAGAAGAGGAAAGCGGAAUUCCAAGUGUGGCGGUGAAAUGCGUAGAGAUUUGAAGGAACACCAGUGGCGAAGGCGGCUUUCUGGUCUGUAACUGACGCUGAGGCGCGAAAGCGUGGGGAGCAAACAGGAUUAGAUACCCUGGUAGUCCACGCCGUAAACGAUGAGUGCUAAGUGUUAGGGGGUUUCCGCCCCUUAGUGCUGCAGCUAACGCAUUAAGCACUCCGCCUGGGGAGUACGGCCGCAAAGGCUG
Molecule: ribosomal RNA, 374 nt
Filed under: uncultured organism
Description: partial 16S ribosomal RNA
Rfam family: Bacterial small subunit ribosomal RNA
Source: RNAcentral